AGAGUUUGAUUAUGGCUCAGAUUGAACGCUGGCGGCAUGCCUUACACAUGCAAGUCGAACGGCAGCACGGGUGCUUGCACCUGGUGGCGAGUGGCGAACGGGUGAGUAAUACAUCGGAACGUACCUUAUCGUGGGGGAUAACGCAGCGAAAGCUGUGCUAAUACCGCAUACGCCCUGAGGGGGAAAGCGGGGGAUCGAAAGACCUCGCGCGAUUAGAGCGGCCGAUGCCUGAUUAGCUUGUUGGUGGGGUAAAAGCCCACCAAGGCGACGAUCAGUAGCUGGUCUGAGAGGACGAUCAGCCACACUGGGACUGAGACACGGCCCAAACUCCUACGGGAGGCAGCAGUGGGGAAUUUUGGACAAUGGGGGAAACCCUGAUCCAGCAAUGCCGCGUGAGUGAAGAAGGCCUUCGGGUUGUAAAGCUCUUUUGUCAGGGAAGAAACACCGGCUGUAACACAGUCCGGGAAUGACGGUACCUGAAGAAUAAGCACCCGGCUAACUACGUGCCAGCAGCCGCGGUAAUACGUAGGGUGCGAGCGUUAAUCGGAAUUACUGGGCGUAAAGCGUGCGCAGGCCGGUUAUACAAGACA
RNAcentral lists this ribosomal RNA (590 nucleotides) under uncultured bacterium FukuN66. Its description in RNAcentral is "bacterial SSU rRNA". It matches the Rfam family "Bacterial small subunit ribosomal RNA", at positions 8 to 590 of the family's 1533-position model. The record is from RNAcentral. Lineage: Bacteria; Pseudomonadati; Pseudomonadota; Betaproteobacteria.